GCCGCGGUGGUGGAACUGGUAGACACGUAGCUCUCAAAAAGCUAUGAGCGCAAGCUCGUGACGGUUCGAGUCCGUCCCGCGGCA
RNAcentral lists this transfer RNA (84 nucleotides) under Candidatus Blackburnbacteria bacterium RIFCSPHIGHO2_01_FULL_40_17. Its description in RNAcentral is "tRNA-Leu". It matches the Rfam family "tRNA". Rfam says of the family: Transfer RNA (tRNA) molecules are approximately 80 nucleotides in length. The record is from RNAcentral. Lineage: Bacteria; Candidatus Blackburniibacteriota. RNAcentral also lists the same sequence under 4 other names.